This is a small nuclear RNA of Peromyscus eremicus (cactus mouse), 107 nucleotides long. NCBI's taxonomy places the organism in Eukaryota, Metazoa, Chordata, Mammalia, Rodentia, Cricetidae. The record is from RefSeq and is a predicted model, not a curated record.
ACUUGCUUCAUCGGCACGUAUACUAAAAAAUUGUAAUGAUACAGAGAAGAUUAGCAUGACUCCUGGGCAAGGGUGACACACAAAUUCUUGAAGUGUUCCAUAUUUUA